RNAcentral lists this ribosomal RNA (209 nucleotides) under Bacillus cereus. Its description in RNAcentral is "partial 16S ribosomal RNA". It matches the Rfam family "Bacterial small subunit ribosomal RNA", at positions 1169 to 1377 of the family's 1533-position model. The record is from RNAcentral. Lineage: Bacteria; Bacillati; Bacillota; Bacilli; Caryophanales; Bacillaceae.
GAAGGUGGGGAUGACGUCAAGUCAUCAUGGCCCUUACGGCCUGGGCUACACACGUGCUACAAUGGUCGGUACAAAGGGUUGCCAAGCCGCGAGGUGGAGCUAAUCUCAUAAAACCGAUCGUAGUCCGGAUCGCAGUCUGCAACUCGACUGCGUGAAGUCGGAAUCGCUAGUAAUCGCGAAUCAGAAUGUCGCGGUGAAUACGUUCCCGG